GCUGCGGGGGAAGGAGGGGGACGAGGUCAGUUGGCCACACGCUGCCCCCCUCUGCCGGGGAUUUCCCAGCUGGCCCCUCCUCUGGUCACUGUCAAGCUCCUCAGCCCUCCAGCCCCUGUGCUGCCACCGGGUUAGAGGAGCAGCCCGGUCCCUCCCUGCUCCUCUGCCACGUCGCCCAGUUUUCUCUCCUCACUGGACUUGUCCUCUGAAAUCACCUUGACCCUUUGAUCUUUGCUGCUGGUUGCCUGAUCCCAUCACUAGAACUGACCCCAGCGUGGCCACCUAAUCAGCCCGUGGGCACAGUGCGGGGACAUAUCCAAUCAACGUGUGCCACCUGUCCCCAUGACACUUGGGUCUUGUUCUCCCCUCUCAGAAACUCCGGCUCUCAGAGACCGUCCCCCCUACAGCUCUGACCCGAAGCAGUCGAGGGCUGGGGGGAGCCAGGAGGAGGCCUGGACCCUGACCCUAGCUCCACUGGCUGGGACCUGGGGUGACUCUUUUGCCCGCUUUGAGCAAACAUCUUCCCCCUCCUCCAGGAAGGUCCCUGCGCGGCCUGGCACCUCCUGACACUGCUCCGGUGCCUCUCAGCUCAACAGAGUUUACCAGGUGGAAAGCUCCAGAACCCUGGCAGGGAGGGCUUCCCGGGGUUGAAUGGCCUGGGGAGGACUCCCCUGACCUGCUCCCCAGGCCACCUCAGCCAGGUUGACAGGUGAACAAACCAGAGGUGCCCAGGGGCCCUCCCCGUCCCCUUUGAAGACGCCCUGCCCCUCUGCCCUCCGUGGUCUUGGGCUUCUGGGGGCCCGGGACACACCCAUGCUCACGCUGCCUAACCCGAGCCCCACUCCCCAGCUCAUUCCCACACAGCCUUCCCGGGUAGGGGCGGUUACUGUGCCACCUCACAGAAGAUGAGGCUGAGGCCCAGGCAGAUGAUGUCACCUGCCUAAGGUCACAGAACUGGAAUUUGACCCUGGACUGCCCAGGUGGCAAAACGUGGGCUUCUGACCACCUCUGUUCCUGGCCCCUGUGGUCUAAAGAGCUGGGCUGGACUGGGGCUGCCCACCCCCUGUCCCCUUCUCUGCCUACACCCCAGGGCUGGGAGGCAGGUGACCACGGAGGCAUUCCCGAGGACAGCACUCACCUCCAGGGAAGAGGGUGUCUGCGUUCUGGAUCAGCGCCUCGACCACGCCCACCACCUGGAUGGAAGACACGGAGGCCGCGUCCAGCUGGGCCUGGUCCCUGGCACAACACGGGGGAUGCAGAGGGUCAUCCACUAGGUAUCAUUUCAGUGGCCCCAACUCUGGCCCUGUGCUGGGCACUGGGGACAUACAGAUGAAGUCCCAAUUCUCAGAAAGCUCAGAGACCAUCCGUUGAAGGCAAACGGAUCACUUCCCUGUUCUUCACCCAUGACAGACAUCACUAGUCGAUCACGGGCCCCUUCCCCACAAGUCUUGGGUCCACACAAUCGAUUUCAGUACUUGGGACGAAAUCUUUGUGCUGUCUGUGGCCCCUUAUGUAAUGAUGAUUCUUCUCCUGUCAGCACUUUACAGUUUAUAAAACAUUUCCCAUUCAUUAUCUCAUCUAGUUCCCCCAAUAAAACCUUGGAAGUCUGUAUAAUUUCUCCCCAGUUGGCAGACAGGGAAGUGGAGGUCCACAGGGUAACUUCCCAAGGCCCAUCUGGACGGUGGGGUGGAGAGAGAACAGGAGCUCUGGACUCCCAGCUGCAGCACCAGGCUGUCAACCACCCAUCACCGCCAGUCCCCAGAAUGCCUGUUUCCAAAGCUCUGUGGGGUCCCUAGUCCCUUUGGGCUUCUCCUCACAGCAGACUUGGGAAUAGGAGAUGCUCAACCCACUCCAUGGUGGGGAAACUGAGGCCCAGCAAGGUAAACAGCAGGUGGCUGGGGAGGGGACUGCUCCCUCCUGGUCCCCCGGCCCUUGGCCCUCACCCUUCCUUCUCAGGCGGCCACAGUAGGUUGGGCCCCAGGACGAUGGCGAUGUUGCUGGGCGUCAUCUUGUUCACCUCCUGCUCCUCGGCCAGCCGUGCCAGGAACUUCAUCAGGUACCUGGGGCAGGAGGUUGGCUUGGGCCGGGCAGAGCAUCUUGGGCCACGGACACCCACGGAUGCCCCUAAGUCCCGAGGACUUCCCAGCCCAGGGUUUCCAAACAGGGGGCUUCACAGGGUUUUUGUUGUCUCACUCUUACAGUCCUGGGGGUUGAACCCAGGGGCGCUCUGCCACCGAGCCACGUCCCCAGCCCUUUUUAGUUUUUAUUUAGAGACUGGGUCUUACUAAGGUGCUUAGAGCCUUGCUAAGUUGCCGAGGCUGGCUUUGAACCUGAGAUCCUCCUGCCUCAGCCUCCUGAGCCACUAGGAUCACAGGUGUGCGCCACUGCGCCUGGCUGAUUUUAAACAUUUUAAUAGUUUAGCUGGCCCAACUGUGUUGGCAAGGGCUAGGAUGAGAGUCCUCCCAGCUACCCUUGAGGCAGGGACUUAAUGACCAGGUGCUGACACCAAGUUUCUUGCCCAGGGCCAGCAGUGGCAGGGGCGUGGCUUAGGGGUGUAGGAUUCGUUUAUUUCAAUAAUAGUAUUAAAAUAUAUGUAUGUCCAGUACACCUAAGCUGUUUUCAGAACUACUGCCUGGGACACAGUGACAGACCUGGACGGAGGCCCGGGGCUCCUGAGUCCCAGCUAGUCUCUGGGACUAGACUCAACUUGGGGACGGCCAGAGGUGGAGGUGGCCCAGGCUCACCUGAGGUUGCUGAGGUUCUCCUGGGGCAGGCGGUGACAGGCUUCUCGGAGGGCCUCCAGCCGGGCCGCAGGCUCCUUUAGGCUGAGGAGGGAGAGCAGCCGGUGAGCCCAAGGCUGAGCCUCUGUAGCCGCCUCCUCUCCACCCCAAGUCCUCACCUGGCUGCCCUCAUCCAGUCAUCGUAGAGGUCAAAGGUCAUCAGGGGCUCUGGCAGCUCCCGAAGAUAGGACUUGAGGGCACCUGGCAGGAGCAGGGGCUCCCUCCAGCAGGCACCUGCCACGGCGUGGGGGUCUGAGCAGAACGCCUCCAGGCCGCGGGGGUCCGAGGCCAUCGUCUGCUUGAGGCGCUUCAGCACCGAGGCCCCAGCGGCCAGACGGAAGAGGCCCUGCGGGGCAAGAGCAGCAGCUCAGCCAGGGCUGUGUCCAGUGAAGACAGUGACCUGCGAUGAUAAUCAGCCUGAAUCUCCAGGAGCUGUGGGGACAGACAGACAUCCCCGAGGGAAGUGAGGGAAGCUGAGAAAGAUCCACAGAGCGGAUCCCCUGCCUCACCGCAGGCCCUGGCCCUUCCUCCACCCGCCGAGCGGCAGAUGGCGAAGCCGGGCCUCGGACUCACAUGAAUGAAGUAGUUGGCAUAUGAGUCCUCCUUGGUGGCAAAGUGGUACAGAUCCGCCAAGUACUCAUCCUUGGGACAGAGAGGGGAAGGCGUAUGCCAGAUGAAGCUGGGGCAAUCGGCCCGUCACUCACUCAUCAGCAAACCUCUUUGCCUCCAUUUCCCCCUUGCAAAAUAGAGCCAAACGGUCUCCCUCCAAGGGCUGGAGGGUCAUUAA
Long non-coding RNA from Marmota monax (woodchuck), 3567 nucleotides. RefSeq lists it as uncharacterized. The record is from RefSeq and is a predicted model, not a curated record. The transcript has 4 exons. Lineage: Eukaryota; Metazoa; Chordata; Mammalia; Rodentia; Sciuridae.